CGAGCCCCACAGUCCCCUUCAGCGACGAACGAUCGCAGACUCACUCCCUUCGUCCGAUCAGAGGAUUGUCAAGUGACAAUAAGAAAUGAAGGUCACACAUCAAUAUUAAUUCCUUUGAGAUAGGCAGCAGUCAUUUCCUCGUGAGACAUAUAGUCGAGCAAAUCAUUAAGUACACGAUUUCAUGAAAAAUUAAAUUAAUCGUUUGUUCCUCGGAUUCUUAUAUCGAAAUUUGCGCUUAAUACCUUUAGAUACAAAAAUACCAGCGAAUGCACUCAAUCAGCAUUCCCUACAUAACCUCUUAAUUUCCCAUACGGUUAAUCAGCUAUACAACGCUGCUGGCAAAUUAGUUUAUAAAUAACCCUAGUCGUACGACUUGAUGCUGAGACGAGAUCUUCGACUAAUUAAUAGUUGCGCGAUAGCAUAACGAAUAGCGAAUUCACUAAACGUAAGCUUAUAUUCAAUAUUCGUUAAUCAAUUUACUUAUAGUUGUUUUACAAUUUAAGGAAUUUUGUAACUUGCUAUUUGGAUUAAUCAUUGGAAUAAAGUUCACAAAAUCGGACGAAUUUUCUCUGCUAUCGGCAACAUUUUUACAAAAUUCGUUUAUAUUGGAGUUAAACGAUGUCGACCAGAGCGUCUAAAGCAGGAUCCGGCAUGACUUUGGCUAGUGUCC
Molecule: long non-coding RNA, 670 nt
Organism: Topomyia yanbarensis
Lineage: Eukaryota; Metazoa; Arthropoda; Insecta; Diptera; Culicidae
Exons: 3
Source: RefSeq, a predicted model, not a curated record